GCUUAACUCUCGAAAAUCGAAAAGUAUCAGUCUUUUUGGGACGGAGGGAGUAUUUUGUAAUUUCUCCUAAAUAAAUUUUUAUAAUUAUUUAUUUCGAAAGCUGAAAACUGAUACUUGAUUGGCGAAGUUGCUGUGAGUUGUUCAAUGGGGCCGAAUUCAAUUUUCUCUCAUUGUCUUCUCUUCAAAACAGAACUAACUGAUUUUGAUGUGUUUUUGAAACCGUGGAUGCAUUAUCUAUUUAAAGGAAUACACUUUGAAUGUGAAGUUAGGAAAAAAAUAUUUACUCUCCUAUUUAGUCAUCGGUUAUAGUGGAAUUUGGCUAUACUGUGGGGUCCAGUCCUCUAUCCCAUAUUUUAAGAAAGGAAGAUUUUUCUUCCUUUGACAAAAUCACAUUGGUAGCAAUUGUGGAAUUGGCCAACAAGUCAAUUCUUUUGUUCACAUAGCCGUGAUGUAAGCGCUUACCUCAUCUUAGUCGUGAUGUAAGCGCUUAGCUCAUCAUAGUCGUGAUGUAAGCGCUUAGCUCAUCAUAGUCGUGAUGUAAGCGCUUACCUCAUCAUAGGAAAUUCAUUCCUAUAAAUAGGCGGCUUAUGGUUCAUUUGUAUCAUCACCAAGAUCAUUUGCUAUACACACCAAAAUCUCAGACAAUACAUCUGAGUGAGAGCAAAGUGAGGUGUUCCAUAGACUGUGAGAAAAUAGUCUGUGAAGAAAACUAGAGUGUGAGUGAUAUUGUAGUAAGGUGGGAAAUCAAAAGAGUGUUAUUUCUUUUGUGGGUGUAGUGGUCUUAGGAGUAUUUAUACUCGUUACUACACAGUGUAAAAUUCCUUACUAUAAUGAUAUCAGCUGCUCCUCUUGGCCGUGGUUUUUUCCCUUAUUCAGAAGGGUUUCCACGUAAAAUCUUGGUGUCAUUAUUGCUGCAUUUUAUUCUUGCUGAUUUAACCAUAACUUAGUGUUCCGCGUUUAUCACUAAUACCGUGAAUAUUAUUUUGCGGGUCUAUUUUAUUCCCAACAUAUACAACGCCAAUUUGGGGCUUUUAUUGUUAAAUCUAUUCUUUGAUUAAACAAAACAUGUUGUGAACCAAGCUGGCUUCCUAAGGGCCAAUGGGCUAGAAACUGAUUUAGUUGGUAUUUUUGGGCUGAGUAACAUGCUGGAGAGUUUUAUUUGGGAUCUUGGCCAAAUUAGCAACUUGUUUCAAAGGACGAUGGAUUAGAAAGAGUAGUUUUAUGCAUAUUUUGAAACAAACCGUUUGUCUCUCUCGUCUUCUUUCCCUAAGUUUCCAAUCCUCUUUUGGUUUCCUCUUCUCAGUUUUCCAUUAAUGACUAUUACUCGUUAAUUGCUUAUCGUUUUCCUUUAUUAGUUGUAAUUUGUGUACUAAGUGGUUAUAUUAUACAUUAGUGUUGUGUUGGUUAUUUCGGGUUCGUUCCAUUGGUGCAUUCAUCCAAAGGUCUUCAAUGGAGGACCAAAUAUAUCGAACAAUCGAAGAUUCAAUUAAGGACAUGAAGGAUUCGUGGUCGAAGGAUCUCGCUAAAAUUAGUUCAAUGUUAAACGAGUUGGUUGGAAACCUUGCAGCGAGUAAACCUACCUUGGUGGAAUUUUGGUAAACCUACCCCGGUGGAAUUUCAACUAUUCUGCGGCGAGAAUCCAAAGUUAUGGAUUUCUCAGGCUGAACGCUACUUUGACUCCUAUAAAAUUGCAGAAAACCACAAGUUAUCUCUCGCAUCGUCUUAUCUCGACAUUAAAGCUUUGACGUGGUACCGAUGGCUUUUCCAAAACAAGCAAUUGACAGAGUGGAAACAUUUUGCUGCAAAAGUGUUGAUUCGCUUUCGUAAAUGGUAUCUCGUAUUGCCAAAGUUCACUUGGACAAUCUCCAGCAGGUAACCUCCGUGACUGAGUACCCAAGUCGUUUUAAGGUUGUUUCGUCGGGCUUCGAUGAGUCAUAUUUACUUCGCCAUGCGUUGCACAUAUUCAUCUACAAUGGAGUAUUAUAAUCAACUCACCUUUUCUUCAAAAUUAUGAUGAGCAAUCUGAAUCCAAAAGCAAAAUGAAUGCGAUCAAGGUGUUCGACGAAAGGUUAACUAGUGCUGCCCUACAGUAUUUGCCGAGGUGCAAUUAGAUACUCCAUUCGAAAUGCUUGAUAAAGAAGCACCAGGUCCUGACCGUAGCGAAGUCCAACCAUUCGAUGCAUGUCCUCAACGAGAUAUGCCAAAUAGGAAGUUGGGUACUCCUAUCGCCCUUGUCCUUCCCAACAAAUAGAUGGUGCUCACUGCUAUGAUGUGAAUGAGAAGUCUCAAAGAAGACAAUGGGCUUUCUAAGGGACGGAUGACGUGUUUUGUUCUCAGCUACACUAAGGUGAUAUUCUACUGUAAUUCUCGAAUUCCCUGUCUUUUCUACUAAUCAGUUGGUCAUUUCCCUUCUUACUAAGAAUGUGGUGGAGAUCAAAGACUGUAAAUGAUAAUGAUGUGGUAUUUGUCUUUUGCAUUUUCCUAAGAUUUUGUGGGAAAAAGGUUAGAUGCCUACCGUGAUUAUCGAACAUCAUAUGUUCAUUUAUAUAACAAAUAUCUUAGGAUA
Molecule: long non-coding RNA, 2566 nt
Organism: Lycium barbarum (goji berry)
Lineage: Eukaryota; Viridiplantae; Streptophyta; Magnoliopsida; Solanales; Solanaceae
Exons: 3
Source: RefSeq, a predicted model, not a curated record